CCUACGGGAGGCAGCAGUCGGGAAUAUUGCGCAAUGGAGGAAACUCUGACGCAGUGACGCCGCGUGCAGGAAGAAGGUUUUCGGAUUGUAAACUGCUUUAGACAGGGAAGAAGUAGGACAGUACCUGUAGAAUAAGCUCCGGCUAACUACGUGCCAGCAGCCGCGGUAAU
Molecule: ribosomal RNA, 170 nt
Filed under: uncultured bacterium
Lineage: Bacteria
Description: partial 16S ribosomal RNA
Rfam family: Bacterial small subunit ribosomal RNA
Source: RNAcentral